This 393-nucleotide ribosomal RNA is filed under the name uncultured bacterium. Its description in RNAcentral is "partial 16S ribosomal RNA". It matches the Rfam family "Bacterial small subunit ribosomal RNA", at positions 523 to 918 of the family's 1533-position model. The record is from RNAcentral.
AUACGGAGGAUGCGAGCGUUAUCCGGAUUUAUUGGGUUUAAAGGGUGCGUAGGCUGUGUGUUAAGUCAGGGGUGAAAUGCCGUCGCUCAACGACGGAGCUGCCCUUGAUACUGGCGUGCUGGAGUACGGAUGCCGUUGGAGGAAUGAGUGGUGUAGCGGUGAAAUGCUUAGAUAUCACUCAGAACACCGAUUGCGAAGGCAUCUGACGAAUCCGUCACUGACGCUGAGGCACGAAAGCGUGGGGAUAGAACAGGAUCAGAUACCCUGGUAUUCCACGCCGUAAACGAUGAUGACUAAACGUCGGCGAUAGACAGCCGGUGGCCAAGCGAAAGCGAUAAGUCAUCCACCUGGGGAGUACGUCGGCAACGAUGAAACUCAAAUGAAUUGACGGGG